Molecule: non-coding RNA, 135 nt
Organism: Triticum aestivum (bread wheat)
Lineage: Eukaryota; Viridiplantae; Streptophyta; Magnoliopsida; Poales; Poaceae
Source: Rfam
UUUGUAUUCCCUCCGUCCCAAAAUUCUUGUCUUAAAUUUGUCUAAAUACGGAUGUAUCUAGUUACAUUUUAGUGUUAGAUACAUCCGUAUCUAAACAAAUGUAAGACAAGAAUUUUGGGACGGAGGGAAUACUAC